AUCUGAGCAGAAGUCACACUGACAAUCUGAAGCAGCCAGUCCCCUGUGCGGGACACUGAAGGAAGGAGCUGGUAAUCAGUCACUAGCGUGAGCGGUGAGAUCGUGUGAUCGGAGCCACAGACACAACUCUAGUGAGAGAGCGUGAGCGGUGAGAUCGUGUGAUCGGAGCCACAGACACAACUCUAGUGAGAGGUAAGGACAAGAGAGGGGACGGAGCCCGGCAACAGCUGUAGGAUUGCCACAACAGAGGUAUAGAAUGAGGGCCAGGUAGAGU
Amblyraja radiata (thorny skate) is the source of this 274-nucleotide long non-coding RNA. RefSeq lists it as uncharacterized. The transcript has 3 exons. The record is from RefSeq and is a predicted model, not a curated record. NCBI's taxonomy places the organism in Eukaryota, Metazoa, Chordata, Chondrichthyes, Rajiformes, Rajidae.